This is a long non-coding RNA of Tupaia belangeri chinensis (Chinese tree shrew), 428 nucleotides long. RefSeq lists it as uncharacterized. Lineage: Eukaryota; Metazoa; Chordata; Mammalia; Scandentia; Tupaiidae. The transcript has 3 exons. The record is from RefSeq and is a predicted model, not a curated record.
ACCUGUUCUGGUCUGACUUUGGAUGUGCUCUAGACACUAUGUGUAGUGAACAUUUUAGAAAUAGGCCACACACACUGGCUUUGACAAUAUCUGCAAUAUCAAUUAUCCAAAAGCACGAUGACUAAUUCAAAGAUCCUUUAAUCAGGCUUUCUUCCUUUUUGGAGAUUUCUUGCUGCCUGACCACAUGUUUAACCAGCCGAUGAAAACCGAAGCAGAGGAGUGAAGUAGAGAUAGGUUUCCAGAGACAACACCAGAUAAAGGAAGUAGGGCAAUAUUUAGCUGCUUGAAGUCUUGGUUUUUUGAAACUAGAAUGUCAGCAAACUGAGAAAUACGAGCAAUGGGGAUAAAAGCCACAGCUUGGAGUGGCAAUGGUAUGACAUGGAGCAAUACCGACGAGAGAUAUUACCAGAGAAGUUAUUCCUAUGGAG